Molecule: long non-coding RNA, 2696 nt
Organism: Athene cunicularia (burrowing owl)
Lineage: Eukaryota; Metazoa; Chordata; Aves; Strigiformes; Strigidae
Exons: 2
Source: RefSeq, a predicted model, not a curated record
CUUUGUAAGGUAAAAUGACAUGAUAGUUUCCAUAUGUGGGCACUGAAAAUAAAUCUUUUUUAUCCCCUCCUGCUUUUUUUUAGGUGUUCUUUGGACUUUUAUUGAAAAAGCCAGGUAUGAGAAGGUGCCUGUAAUUCUGGUUGGUAAUAAAGUGGACCUGGAAAGUGAGAGAGAAGUAUCAUCGAGUGAAGGCAGAGCCUUAGCUGAAGAAUGGGGCUGCCCCUUUAUGGAGACCUCUGCUAAAAGUAAAACAAUGGUGGAUGAGCUCUUCGCGGAAAUUGUUAGACAAAUGAACUAUGCAGCACAGCCAGACAAAGAUGAUCCAUGCUGUUCUGCAUGUAAUAUACAAUAGCAUUAAAAAUGACCUAACCUGGACUUAAUUUGCAGAAAUUUUGUAAGGUGGUAAAACUGUCUACUUCACUUCCUGGUUUGUGGGUCACUUGAAAUACAUCUGUAGUGAAGUAGCAACAUUAACUCAGAGCUGAGCAUUGGAAGUCAAUCACUGACUCUGAAUAUAAUUGGGUUAAAUGACCACAUCUCACCCGUUUUUCCCUUUGAGCACCUGCAAUUUUAUGGCAUAGCCAGUUGAUCUACAGGGUCGUUCCAGUCGAGCGUACGUGUGUUGUCAUGUCAGACAGCAACAACAGCAACUGUUUCCAAAGAAGUUGGAAAACUUUUGGAAAUGGAAAGCAAAAGCAGUGGAGAGAAUAUCUCUGAAGACCAUUCACAACUAGCAUAAGCGCGAAAGGAGAGCCAAGUCUUUCAGUGUCUAAUUGCUGUGGUUCAGGACAUGCACUAUCACUUGUGGCCAAGUUUGUUCAGUCAAGUAUGUUGAUUUCACCAGAACUUCUGACAGUGUUAGAUGAAGAGGCUACCAGAGACCUAUAUAGUUUGGAUUUUUUUUGAAAAUCGAUGCUAUUAUUUCUACACUUUAUCCCACAUCUUGAAAUAGAAAACAUUGAAUCAGUGUAUGAAAUGAGAGGCAAGAUCUGAAAACAAAUGAUGGGUGAAGAAACAGUCUGGCAUUGGAAUGUUUUAAAUCUUUCAUUUUGCUGCUCAAAAAUGGAGGAUCACUUCAGGUUUUGGUCUGCAAAAAGCCAAACAAACCCUCUGUUUACAAAGCAGGAAGCAUCUUUAUUUAUCACUUUACUGAACCAGGAGGAAGCAACUGUGAUGAAAAAAAAUUGCUGAGCCUUACUAACAAGGAACACUUUAAUAGAUUAACUAGUACCAUCUUGUAAGGAAAAUUAAGCCAUGUUGCAUCCAUAUGUUCCCUUCUGCAGAAACCUCGUGGGACAGUAUGAACAUCCUGCAUUUUUAAGUUUGUUAAAGACAACAGUUUUUCUUGCCUUUAAGGGCUAUGUUCUCUGGUGUGAUCCCUAACAAACCUUUGAAAAUCGAGUUUGCUAUUUGAUAGCUUUAAUGCUGAAAACUUAAAUUGAAUAACCAUGUGAAAUCAUUUGGUUCAGAGGUGAAAUAGUUAUGGUUGUAAUUCCUUAGGUGAGUGUGGAAAUGGUUCUUUAAUUGCCUGACACACCAUUCAAAGGUUGCCCCAAUUAUUGGAGUGUUAAAUGGUGGGAGCAAAUAUUUUAUUUUGAAAGGAUGCUCGAGCUCUGACUUGCUAGUUUCAUAGCAGUGAAGUAUUUAUCAUUUGCAUGACUAAUGGCACAGAAAUACCUAUUCCGAAGUCUUACAAUCAAAGUAUAGAAGAGUUUUCAAUCACAAUGUUUAGAUUUUAAAUGCUGGAGAGAUUGUCUUGAGCUGGAUCUUUUAUAGGUAAAAUUGGCCAUAAAAAUACAGAGUCGCUGAGCCUGUGGUCUAAAUAACACCAUGCGUUUAUUAGUUUUUCAAUCUUGUGCAGUAACAGUGUAGUUCCUUGUGUUUAAAUGAGUGAAAACAGGGGUGCUGGUGUGUGUGUGUGUGUGUGUGUGUGUGUGUGUUGAGUGUGUAUGUGUGUGUGUAUAUGGCCCUUAGAAAUGCUGUAAUUGGAGUUAGGUUCGAGAGUUUUGCCUCCAUCUGCAGAACUUCCUAAAAACGCUCUCAUCUGCUACAAAGGAAACUUGAGAACAAAACGCUUUGCAGAUUUUCAUACAUAAACAUCCUUAACAUUUUGAAUUAUAUUUUAGUGGAUGAUAACUAAAGGAAAUCAUAUUAAUGGAAGAGAACUGGCCAUCUCUGCCCUUAAUCUUUCAAGAUCUUUCCACAACCAAUGUAUCAAAGGGCAUUAGAUGUCACAAAACAUUAAGCCUUACUAGAACACAAAUGUAGCCCGUUUCCCAUCUACCUUGCAGAGCUUUCAUUACUGUACUUUGUUCUCUUAGGGAGAUAGGCACACCGUUUAUUUCUGGCAUCUGAAUGCCCAUUUUGGGUGCUCUGAAACGCCCUCCUAGAGGCACCUACCUCUUUCCAUUGACUAUAUAGCAAACUUAGGCUUUUAACUUUGGUCCUCUGAGUCACACAACUUAUAUGCCUAAACUAGAUGGUAUGAAUGUUCUCCUACCCCCUGCCUGCCCAUUGUGUCAGCUGCCAUGCUUAAGCAAGAUGAGAGAUGUUGAAUUAAUGAUAUUUCAGUGUUUAAAAUAUCUAGAUUGGAAAGUGGUUUAUUGAGCAGUAAAACUUAUCUGUAAAACAGCUUGUCAGUGUGAGAUCCACUGCAUAAGCGCUCAAAAAAAAAAACCCCACCAACAAAAAAAACA